This 282-nucleotide long non-coding RNA is filed under the name Olea europaea (common olive). RNAcentral describes it as "long non-coding RNA (OEUR_LNC012245)". Lineage: Eukaryota; Viridiplantae; Streptophyta; Magnoliopsida; Lamiales; Oleaceae. The record is from RNAcentral.
UGAUUAUUCUAUUGGCUUGUUGUAGCAGAUAAUUCGUAAGAAAAGAACGACAGAAAAUGCCCAAAAAAUCAGAGAAAAUACUCUGAAUUCAACUCAAUAUUAUUAAUAAUGCAGAAUGAUAAAAACUAACCCACAAGCCGGGUUAAAUAGCUGCAAAAUACGAAAUUAUGGGAAAAUUACCAAAAAUGGCAAAAUUCCAAAAUUAUACCAAAAUAAAAUAUUAAGUAAAAAAAGUAAGUUGCCAAAAAUUUGGCUCAAUUCGAGUUUUCUAACAUAUGAAAA